RNAcentral lists this ribosomal RNA (1554 nucleotides) under Escherichia coli. RNAcentral's name for it is "bacterial SSU rRNA". It matches the Rfam family "Bacterial small subunit ribosomal RNA". The record is from RNAcentral. Lineage: Bacteria; Pseudomonadati; Pseudomonadota; Gammaproteobacteria; Enterobacterales; Enterobacteriaceae.
UUAAAUUGAAGAGUUUGAUCAUGGCUCAGAUUGAACGCUGGCGGCAGGCCUAACACAUGCAAGUCGAACGGUAACAGGAAGAAGCUUGCUUCUUUGCUGACGAGUGGCGGACGGGUGAGUAAUGUCUGGGAAACUGCCUGAUGGAGGGGGAUAACUACUGGAAACGGUAGCUAAUACCGCAUAACGUCGCAAGACCAAAGAGGGGGACCUUCGGGCCUCUUGCCAUCGGAUGUGCCCAGAUGGGAUUAGCUAGUAGGUGGGGUAACGGCUCACCUAGGCGACGAUCCCUAGCUGGUCUGAGAGGAUGACCAGCCACACUGGAACUGAGACACGGUCCAGACUCCUACGGGAGGCAGCAGUGGGGAAUAUUGCACAAUGGGCGCAAGCCUGAUGCAGCCAUGCCGCGUGUAUGAAGAAGGCCUUCGGGUUGUAAAGUACUUUCAGCGGGGAGGAAGGGAGUAAAGUUAAUACCUUUGCUCAUUGACGUUACCCGCAGAAGAAGCACCGGCUAACUCCGUGCCAGCAGCCGCGGUAAUACGGAGGGUGCAAGCGUUAAUCGGAAUUACUGGGCGUAAAGCGCACGCAGGCGGUUUGUUAAGUCAGAUGUGAAAUCCCCGGGCUCAACCUGGGAACUGCAUCUGAUACUGGCAAGCUUGAGUCUCGUAGAGGGGGGUAGAAUUCCAGGUGUAGCGGUGAAAUGCGUAGAGAUCUGGAGGAAUACCGGUGGCGAAGGCGGCCCCCUGGACGAAGACUGACGCUCAGGUGCGAAAGCGUGGGGAGCAAACAGGAUUAGAUACCCUGGUAGUCCACGCCGUAAACGAUGUCGACUUGGAGGUUGUGCCCUUGAGGCGUGGCUUCCGGAGCUAACGCGUUAAGUCGACCGCCUGGGGAGUACGGCCGCAAGGUUAAAACUCAAAUGAAUUGACGGGGGCCCGCACAAGCGGUGGAGCAUGUGGUUUAAUUCGAUGCAACGCGAAGAACCUUACCUGGUCUUGACAUCCACGGAAGUUUUCAGAGAUGAGAAUGUGCCUUCGGGAACCGUGAGACAGGUGCUGCAUGGCUGUCGUCAGCUCGUGUUGUGAAAUGUUGGGUUAAGUCCCGCAACGAGCGCAACCCUUAUCCUUUGUUGCCAGCGGUCCGGCCGGGAACUCAAAGGAGACUGCCAGUGAUAAACUGGAGGAAGGUGGGGAUGACGUCAAGUCAUCAUGGCCCUUACGACCAGGGCUACACACGUGCUACAAUGGCGCAUACAAAGAGAAGCGAACUCGCGAGAGCAAGCGGACCUCAUAAAGUGCGUCGUAGUCCGGAUUGGAGUCUGCAACUCGACUCCAUGAAGUCGGAAUCGCUAGUAAUCGUGGAUCAGAAUGCCACGGUGAAUACGUUCCCGGGCCUUGUACACACCGCCCGUCACACCAUGGGAGUGGGUUGCAAAAGAAGUAGGUAGCUUAACCUUCGGGAGGGCGCUUACCACUUUGUGAUUCAUGACUGGGGUGAAGUCGUAACAAGGUAACCGUAGGGGAACCUGCGGUUGGAUCACCUCCUUACCUUAAAGAA